CCUACGGGGUGCAGCAGUGAGGAAUAUUGGUCAAUGGACGAGAGUCUGAACCAGCCAAGUAGCGUGAAGGAUGACUGCCCUAUGGGUUGUAAACUUCUUUUAUAUGGGAAUAAAAUGUUCCACGUGUGGGAUUUUGUAUGUACCAUAUGAAUAAGGAUCGGCUAACUCCGUGCCAGCAGCCGCGGUAAUACGGAGGAUCCGAGCGUUAUCCGGAUUUAUUGGGUUUAAAGGGAGCGUAGGUGGAUUGUUAAGUCAGUUGUGAAAGUUUGCGGCUCAACCGUAAAAUUGCAGUUGAAACUGGCAGUCUUGAGGACAGUAGAGGUGGGCGGAAUUCGUGGUGUAGCGGUGAAAGGCUUAGAUAUCACGAAGAACUCCGAUUGCGAAGGCAGCUCACUGGACUGCAACUGACACUGAGGCUCGAAAGUGUGGGUAUCAAACAGGAUUAGAUACCCGUAUAGUC
This 460-nucleotide ribosomal RNA is filed under the name uncultured bacterium. Its description in RNAcentral is "partial 16S ribosomal RNA". It matches the Rfam family "Bacterial small subunit ribosomal RNA", at positions 338 to 795 of the family's 1533-position model. The record is from RNAcentral.